This 432-nucleotide ribosomal RNA is filed under the name uncultured bacterium. RNAcentral's name for it is "partial 16S ribosomal RNA". It matches the Rfam family "Bacterial small subunit ribosomal RNA", at positions 29 to 506 of the family's 1533-position model. The record is from RNAcentral.
AACGAACGCUGGCGGCAUGCCUAACACAUGCAAGUCGAACGAGACCUUCGGGUCUAGUGGCGCACGGGUGCGUAACGCGUGGGAACCUGCCCUUAGGUUCGGAAUAACUCCCCGAAAGGGGUGCUAAUACCGGAUAAUGUCUUCGGACCAAAGAUUUAUCGCCUUGGGAUGGGCCCGCGUUGGAUUAGCUAGUUGGUAGGGUAAAAGCCUACCAAGGCGACGAUCCAUAGCUGGUCUGAGAGGAUGAUCAGCCACACUGGGACUGGGACACGGCCCAGACUCCUACGGGAGGCAGAAGUGGGGAAUAUUGGACAAUGGGCGAAAGCCGGAUCCAGCAAGGCCGCGUGAGUGAUGAAGGCCUUAGGGUUGUAAAGCUCUUUUACCCGGGAUGAUAAGGACAGUACCGGGAGAAUAAGCUCCGGCUAACUCCGU